AUAUAUAUAUCUCAUCAAAUGGCUUGAUAUUCUCCAUCCAAUAAGGUGAAGGUGUGGCUUGAAGAGAAUAAGGAUACAUGUUACUCGAUUAAUUAAAGAAAAACUCAUUGGAAUCUGAAAUCAGAUGGGAAAUCUUCCUUUGUUUGGUUUGGGUUUGCCGCUUAUAAUGUUAGAUGAGUAGCAUCCAGCUGGGUAUUGGAGAAAUAAUUAAUGAAUAGGUAUAAAUAGUUAAUCAAGGUGGUCCAAAUACAAAAAUAAUUUGAUGGGAUGGGAAUAUGAUCAAUUUUUAAUCUAAGUGUGUUAAACAUGAAAUUAGAGUGAAAUAGUGGGGAUUUUUGUGCAUAAGGUCAAUGGGGAAAACUUGGUCGGGCCCUUGUUUGACCUAAAAAGAUUGAUAUAAUCUUCUUCUUUUUUUUAUGUCUAGGGUCCGAACCCAUUGAAAACCCUACAAACCCCGUGUUUCAAGUAAGCCACAAAUAUGGUAGGUGAUCGCAAGGUGAUUCGAACCCAAGAAGUCAAUAAAAAGAGUAAACCUUCUUGACCGUCAGA
This is a long non-coding RNA of Pistacia vera, 549 nucleotides long. RefSeq lists it as uncharacterized. Lineage: Eukaryota; Viridiplantae; Streptophyta; Magnoliopsida; Sapindales; Anacardiaceae. The record is from RefSeq and is a predicted model, not a curated record. The transcript has 3 exons.